UACGAAGGGGGCUAGCGUUGCUCGGAAUCACUGGGCGUAAAGCGCACGUAGGCGGCUUUCUAAGUCAGGGGUGAAAUCCUGGAGCUCAACUCCAGAACUGCCUUUGAUACUGGGAAGCUCGAGUCCGGAAGAGGUGAGUGGAACUCCGAGUGUAGAGGUGAAAUUCGUAGAUAUUCGGAAGAACACCAGUGGCGAAGGCGGCUCACUGGACGACUGUUGACGCUGAGGUGCGAAAGCGUGGGGAGCAAACAGG
This 253-nucleotide ribosomal RNA is filed under the name uncultured bacterium. RNAcentral describes it as "partial 16S ribosomal RNA". It matches the Rfam family "Bacterial small subunit ribosomal RNA", at positions 524 to 776 of the family's 1533-position model. The record is from RNAcentral.